UCCUACGGGAGGCAGCAGUGGGGAAUAUUGGACAAUGGGGGCAACCCUGAUCCAGCCAUGCCGCGUGUGUGAAGAAGGCCCUCGGGUUGUAAAGCACUUUCAGCGAGGAAGAAUGCCUAGCGGUUAAUACCCGCUAGGAAAGACAUCACUCGCAGAAGAAGCACCGGCUAACUCCGUGCCAGCAGCCGCGGUAAUACGGAGGGUGCAAGCGUUAAUCGGAAUUACUGGGCGUAAAGCGCGCGUAGGUGGCUUGAUAAGCCGGUUGUGAAAGCCCCGGGCUCAACCUGGGAACGGCAUCCGGAACUGUCAAGCUAGAGUGCAGGAGAGGAAGGUAGAAUUCCCGGUGUAGCGGUGAAAUGCGUAGAGAUCGGGAGGAAUACCAGUGGCGAAGGCGGCCUUCUGGACUGACACUGACACUGAGGUGCGAAAGCGUGGGUAGCAAACAGGAUUAGAUACCCUGGUAGUCCACGCCGUAAACGAUGUCGACCAGCCGUUGGGUGCCUAGCGCACUUUGUGGCGAAGUUAACGCGAUAAGCCGACCGCCUGGGGAGUACGGCCGCAAGGUUAAAACUCAAAUGAAUUGACGG
RNAcentral lists this ribosomal RNA (587 nucleotides) under uncultured bacterium. RNAcentral describes it as "bacterial SSU rRNA". It matches the Rfam family "Bacterial small subunit ribosomal RNA", at positions 337 to 916 of the family's 1533-position model. The record is from RNAcentral.